RNAcentral lists this ribosomal RNA (873 nucleotides) under Lysobacter soli. RNAcentral describes it as "bacterial SSU rRNA". It matches the Rfam family "Bacterial small subunit ribosomal RNA", at positions 9 to 871 of the family's 1533-position model. The record is from RNAcentral. Lineage: Bacteria; Pseudomonadati; Pseudomonadota; Gammaproteobacteria; Lysobacterales; Lysobacteraceae.
GAGUUUGAUCCUGGCUCAGAGUGAACGCUGGCGGCAGGCCUAACACAUGCAAGUCGAACGGCAGCACAGAGGAGCUUGCUCCUUGGGUGGCGAGUGGCGGACGGGUGAGGAAUGCAUCGGAAUCUGCCUAUUUGUGGGGGAUAACGUAGGGAAACUUACGCUAAUACCGCAUACGUCCUACGGGAGAAAGUGGGGGACCUUCGGGCCUCACGCAGAUAGAUGAGCCGAUGCCGGAUUAGCUAGUUGGCGGGGUAAAGGCCCACCAAGGCGACGAUCCGUAGCUGGUCUGAGAGGAUGAUCAGCCACACUGGAACUGAGACACGGUCCAGACUCCUACGGGAGGCAGCAGUGGGGAAUAUUGGACAAUGGGCGCAAGCCUGAUCCAGCCAUGCCGCGUGAGUGAAGAAGGCCUUCGGGUUGUAAAGCUCUUUUGUCCGGAAAGAAAAGCAUUCGGUUAAUAACCGGGUGUCAUGACGGUACCGGAAGAAUAAGCACCGGCUAACUUCGUGCCAGCAGCCGCGGUAAUACGAAGGGUGCAAGCGUUACUCGGAAUUACUGGGCGUAAAGCGUGCGUAGGUGGUUUGUUAAGUCUGAUGUGAAAGCCCUGGGCUCAACCUGGGCACUGCAUUGGAUACUGGCUUACUAGAGUGCGGUAGAGGGGUGUGGAAUUCCCGGUGUAGCAGUGAAAUGCGUAGAUAUCGGGAGGAACAUCUGUGGCGAAGGCGACACCCUGGACCAGCACUGACACUGAGGCACGAAAGCGUGGGGAGCAAACAGGAUUAGAUACCCUGGUAGUCCACGCCCUAAACGAUGCGAACUGGAUGUUGGGGGCAACUUGGCCCUCAGUAUCGAAGCUAACGCGUUAAGUCGCCG